Molecule: non-coding RNA, 78 nt
Organism: Paramuricea clavata
Lineage: Eukaryota; Metazoa; Cnidaria; Anthozoa; Malacalcyonacea; Plexauridae
Source: the annotation of a GenBank genome assembly
AUCCUCGUUCCCAGGGCUUCUCCGCUGCCUUAUUUAUGGCAAUGUGAGGCAGCCGAGAAGCCCUGGGAACGAGGAUGG